AAAAAAAAGCUAAGUAACAAUGUGGAUCUAAUGCAAGGAAUGAGAGACCCUGAAAAGAGUAACUCAUUGGAAAAUAUUUUUCUUACUGUUUUAAUCUUCUUCUUCGUUUUUUAAAAAAGAUUUAUUUAUUAUUCAUUGGUACACUGUAGCUGUCUUCAGAUGUACCAGAAGAGGGUGUCAGAUCUCAUUAUGGGUGGUUGUGAGCCACCAUGUGGUUGCUGGGAUUUGAACUCAGGACCUUUGGAAGAGCAGUCAAUGCUCUUAACCACUGAGCCAUCUCGCCAGCCCUGUUUUAAUCCUCUUAAAAGAUUAGCAUGAACAAUAAUUCUAGCAAUAUGGCACAUGGUUUAUAGCAUACAUAUGAGUACUACAGAACAAAAUUGGGAUGGAAGAAAUGAGGCUUUUAUACUACAUAAAUAGCAGCAUAUCACUGGACAGCAGGUUAAAGAUAAUAUACUAUACAUGUUAAAGCAGCUAUUCAUAUAAUAAAGACUUUUAGUUAAAAUGGUACAAACUAAAGUAAAACAACCCCUAUCCCCCUCACAUACACACACUUUAGUUUUGGCUAGAACAAUAGCUCAGUGGAUAAAUGUAUUUUGCUGUACAAGUAUGUGACCUUAAGUUUACAUCUCCAGCACACAUAUAAAAGGCAAGCAGAACAAUGUGUCUGAGUGGGGUAGAUCUCAAAGUUCCCUGGAUGAUCAGGUUUGGUAAAGAGAUCCUUUUUCAAAAAACAAGGAAGAGAGUGAUAGUCAACAUCAAUCUCUGGCCUCUACAGAUCCAUGCGUGCAAGCACACACACAAUUAGUUGUGGCAAACAUACACACACCAGCUAAUCCAAAAGAUGACAAGAAAAAAAAAUGAGAAAAUGGAAGGAAGAAAAGAAAAUAAUACCAAGGUAACAGACAUAUUCAUACAUAAAUUAUCUAAGUAUCUUACAUGUAAAUAAAUGAUCUACACCAUAAAAGACAGAGAUUAUUUGAUAGGACACAGAGCCAAACCUAAGUAUUCUGCCUACAAGAAACACACUUUAAAUAUGAAGGUACAGAGACAAGAAUGAAGAAAGGCACUGUGUAAGCAUCAGUUCAAUGACAGACAACAGCUAAGAAGAAGUUCUUUGCUGAUGUUCCAUUAAGAACAUAUCACAACUCAAAUGUUUUUCUGCCUCAUAACCAGACUCAAAUUAUACAAAGCAAAAACUGAUAAAUGAGAAAGAGCUAACCCCACAAUUAUAAGAGGUUUUUAACACCCUUAUGUUAUUUUUAUAUUUACCUACUUGAUUGCUUACAUACUACAGAACUAAAGAUUAAACUCAGCUCCACAUUUAAGUGGACAUUUCACCUCUGAGCUAUACUCUUCCCUACUGCAAUAUUUAGUAGAGGAAGCAGACAGAAGUCAAUUAGAGAUUUUAAUAACACUAUCAACUGUUUUGACCUGACAUAGAACACUUCACAGAAGAAUAUCAGGAAAAUCAUCGUUUUUAUGUGCACACAAACAUUUACAAUGACAAACCAUAUUCUAGGCAAUAAAGCAAAUCUCAAUAAUCUUAAAAGAUUAUUAAAGACUUAUAUAAAAUAUUUUCUGAUUACAACAGAACUAAAUUAAAAUUCAAAACAUUUGGAAAAUAAAGAUUCAGAAAUUAAAUAAACACCUUUAGCUAAAAGAAUGAAAGGAGAAAUUCUAAAAUUCAAUACACAAUAAAACUAAAACUCACCUGACAUGUCACAACUCUAUGCUAUGGCAUGAUAGUACAGUGGCGCUUAGGGGGCCAGCUUCAGCCCUGACUCCCUAUAGCAGUGGUUCUCAAUGAGACCUCUAAUAAAGAGCAAACUGAAAAUGAACUAGAAAACAGAAGAAAAACCAAUGAAACAAAGGCUCAGAAGAUCAGUAAAGUUGAGAAAUGUCCACCCUAGUCACGUGAAAAGAAAGAUUCAAAUGGCUACUGCCAGAAAUGGUGUUCUGAGUCUACUGAAAUUAAAAGAAUAGUUAAUAAUAAUUUUUAAAAAUCCUUCAUUCCAAAAAAUUCAGCAACCUGGGAAAAUUACAAAUUCAAACCUGCUGCAGCUCACUCAAGAAUGCAGACACACCGAAAAGUUCUAUGUGUAUUAAGAAAAUUUGAAUUUAUAAUUUAAAACAUUCCUUCAAAAAACCCUCCAGUUCCAGAUGGCUACAUGAUGAAUACUUCAAACAGAAAUAAUACCAACUUUAUGCAACUUUCCCAUAAAACUGAAAAGGCAGAACUUUCUAACUCACUUUAUAAGGUCAGAAUUAUUCCAACCAGACCAAAAAGUAUCUCAAGAAAACUAUAAACUUUACAACAGAUAUUCUAAGUGAUUUUGAUAAUUAUAGUAAUACGAUGUGAAGAUAUAAUUAUACUACCACCUAAAUUCAAUUUGUCUAAAAACAAAAGACUGUUGCUAGGUAUUUGGUCAUACUGUGAAUCCUGAAAUUGUGUUGUUUACUGGAAAAACAUGUUUCUAGUUGUGGUGUGGCUCAGCUUUAGCACAUACCUUUAAUCCCUUUGGUUGAAGUACAGACAUACCCUUAUUACACACUUACGUAAUCCCAAACAAUGAAGGUAAAAUUAACUUGUAGAAGGAAACACCCAUGUUUGAAAAUGAUGUUUAACUGAGUGGCAGAUAAAGCGAUGAAUCAGAGAAAGAUUUGACAGAAUGGGAUAUGCUCAACUCUCAUAAGAAUAGAGAGAAAUAUAGACUACUUCAACAAGCAUUCAAAAGCAAUAAAAGGGAAGAAGUGUAUUUUAUCAAAUGGUUUUAUAAUAGAUAAGCAAUGGACAUUUCGCUUCUAGAACUGGAAAGAACAACAGGAUUCUGGUGUGGACAGUAGUAAACUCAAAAUAGACCACAGACAUAAACCUAAAACUAUAAAACUUUUAGAAACAAAAGGAAAAAUUCAUAUGAGUGAAGUGAUGAUUGACCACAGAAUUAAAAAAACUUGCUCUUCAAGAAUCACC
RNAcentral lists this long non-coding RNA (2974 nucleotides) under Mus musculus (house mouse). RNAcentral describes it as "long non-coding RNA chr7:113338766-113341740". The record is from RNAcentral. Lineage: Eukaryota; Metazoa; Chordata; Mammalia; Rodentia; Muridae.